CCUUGACUGCACUGGAUCCAACUUGCUCCAUUUCAACUGACACUCUGGCCAGAGCUUCGGGUCAUACUACCUUCCCAGCUGGUGCUGUCCCUUCCAGAGAGCCAAGCUGCUGACCGUUUUAGAACUGCUGAUUCCCAGCACCUACUUUUACUGACAGAACAGAGGAGUGCUUUUUGGGUAAUGUGUCCAGAGUCACCCCAAACUUCCAUGUGGAGCCUGAAUCUUUGAAGAUGCAGCUAUGUCAGGCAAAAGAAAAGAUCAUUUCUGGCCUUAUACCUACUGAUCAGGGUGAAGAACAGAAUGAGAAAUGGGAACACUGCAAAGAAACUUACAUCAUUUUGACUCACUGGUAGUUGCAAUCCUUAGAAAAGCAGCCCUUCCCAGUGUGAGGUUACUUUGAAAUGAACUGAAGGAGACCUUCAUGUAAAGAGAGUACACUGGGUUCUGCAAGGCAGAUUCUGCCUAAUGAUUUCCAUAGACUGUUUUCCUGGGAAGAGAAUAAAAUAAACUCUGAGAAAAUGGCAGAGAACUGCCCAGACCACAUAAACAUUCUUGCUCACAUGAAGGCAUUUGAUUCCCCUUUGUGAGAAAUAAAGACUCACCCAGGUCUCUGCGGGGGAAGCUAAGAUCAAUGUGAUGGGCUGAAUGCUAGUGACUUCUGUGCUGCUGGAAGAAAUUGCUUCCUCGGGAUGCCAAAGGCCAAGCUUUGCCCAGGCAGGCUUCUACAAGGCAAGCCAGAGAGUAGCAGCAGUGUGACUUCCCCCAAGGCAUGGGAGGAAUGCUCCAUUCUUCAAGUACAACUGCAAGCUGUGCUUCCCUAUUCAAGUCUCCUCCUUGAACUUGGUGCUGUCACAUGGCAGACAGUAGUUAUAUCUUGAAAGCAAGAAAAUGUAAUUUUAAUGUACAAUUUCUUCACCCAGGAGGAAUCCUUGCUUGUCUUCUUGGAAUGAUUAUUCACAUUGUUUGUCAGAAAUAUCUGAUAGUGAGAGACAUUUUGAUUAAAUUAUAUGUACCACAGUAGAGAUAUAAUGUGUCCAUUAACAUGAUGUGUGCAAUAAGUGAAAAACACAUAAAUAUUUAUGCCUUUAAUAAAAUAGGAUUCAAGAUAAUGUGGAAAAUAUCACUGUUAUCAUUAAUGAAUAACAAUAGACUUAGGAAAAUUAUUUUUAAGGGAAUAUACAAAAUAAUGAGUGCAUCAGCAGCAGGAUAACUAUGGCUCAUAACAUCUAGUCGACUAUUUCAAAAUAGCUAGUAGAGAUUUUGAAUGUUUCCAAACCAAAAAAUGAUAAGAAAUUG
Non-coding RNA from Cricetulus griseus (Chinese hamster), 1296 nucleotides. Lineage: Eukaryota; Metazoa; Chordata; Mammalia; Rodentia; Cricetidae. The record is from RefSeq and is a predicted model, not a curated record.